This 516-nucleotide ribosomal RNA is filed under the name uncultured organism. RNAcentral's name for it is "SSU rRNA". It matches the Rfam family "Eukaryotic small subunit ribosomal RNA", at positions 1273 to 1804 of the family's 1831-position model. The record is from RNAcentral.
AGAGGGCGCAUGAGAGAUGGCCGUUCUUAGUUGGUGGAGUGAUUUGUCUGGUUAAUUCCGUUAACGAACGAGACCCCUGCCUGCUAAAUAGUUGAGCGAAUGAAUGUUCAUUGGCUACAGCUUCUUAGAGGGACGUGCGUUCUAUUAGACGCAGGAAGAUAGGGGCAAUAACAGGUCUGUGAUGCCCUUAGAUGUCCUGGGCCGCACGCGCGUUACACUGAUGCACUCAACGAGUCUACCUUGGCCGAGAGGCCUGGGAAAUCUUGUUAACAUGCAUCGUGAUAGGGAUAGAUUAUUGCAAUUAUUAAUCUUGAACGAGGAAUUCCUAGUAAACGCAGAUCAUCAAUCUGCAUUGAUUACGUCCCUGCCCUUUGUACACACCGCCCGUCGCACCUACCGAUUGAAUGGUCCGGUGAAGCCUCGGGAUUGCGAUGAGUUUCCUUUAUUGGGAGUUCGUCGCGAGAACCUGUCUAAACCUUAUCAUUUAGAGGAAGGUGAAGUCGUAACAAGGUAACC